Molecule: ribosomal RNA, 383 nt
Filed under: Stenonabis sp.
Lineage: Eukaryota; Metazoa; Arthropoda; Insecta; Hemiptera; Nabidae
Description: partial large subunit ribosomal RNA
Rfam family: Eukaryotic large subunit ribosomal RNA
Source: RNAcentral
GGGCGUCUCUUUCUCAUUACGAGUGGAGGCGCACCUACAGCGUACACGCUGAUACCCGAAAGAUGGUGAACUAUGCCUGGCCAGGACGAAGCCAGGGGAAACCCUGGUGGAGGUCCGCAGCGAUUCUGACGUGCAAAUCGAUCGUCAGAGCUUGGUAUAGGGGCGAAAGACCAAUCGAACCAUCUAGUAGCUGGUUCCCUCUGAAGUUUCCCUCAGGAUAGCUUGCGCUCGGUUGAGACGAGUCUCAUCCGGUAGAGCGAAUGAUUAGAGGCCUUGGGGUCGAAACGACCUCAACCUAUUCUCAAACUCCAAAUAGAUGAGAUCCCCGGCUUGCUUGAAAGUGAAGCCGGGACUCGGAUCAGAGUGCCAAGUGGGCCAAUUUU